CAGAGCAGUUGCUCUUCCUAUCAGUUUCUUCUGGCACGUUCUAUUCAAAAAAGAUGAAAGCAAAACUGAAACCAUCCAAAACCCACCAUGGCCCUCAAACUUGGAAACACAUUUCCUCCCCUCCCAUGUUUCGCAGAGCAAGAAUCCUCAUCUACUCACUGCAUAAAAAGGGAGGAAGAUUGAAGGAAAAAGAGCUGAAGCAAUCAAUAUUGGAACCCCCAGUGUGCUCAUCAAUCUGUAUUUGUAAGAUGUUGCAGUGUAUGAGAGAGGCAAGAAAAUUAUGGUAUGAUGCUGUUAAAACCGAUCGACGUUUACUCAGAUUCUAAAUCAGACGGUCCAUCUCGCAUCACCAACCCUCAGUCUCAGACCUUUUCAACAGAACCGAAGUUUGAGAAAACUGUUGGAAUCAGUGGAGUGGGGAAUAAAUUUUAAAACUCAACGAUGUGUGGUCCAGUCAUUAGUUCAAGAACUCGAAGUCCAGAAUUGCUUCAAUGACUCCGGUUCCAUGCUUUCUGUUUAUGAAUCUUCAAUAUGCAGAGCAUCAAUUCUUUAAAUGAUGGAAUCGCCUCUCACCUCGCACUCUCUGACGCAUAAUGGUUCCAGAAGACGCAGAGGAAACUAUAUUUAAGGAAUUAAAAGCAAAAUGAGGAUCAGAGUUGGAGGGAGUUCAAGAAUAACAUGAAAGCAAAACAAAAGGGAAGCAUCAUGGUGAGUGAUAAGCACUGAUCAUGACUUCUUCGAGCAGUGAACCAAAGUCGCUCUUCUUCAUGGACAAGUCCAAAGGUUAUUUCAUAUGGAUGCUAGAAGGGACAUAAUUUUCUGUGGUGGCAAUUACUCUGAGCAUUUCUCAUUCUUCCUGUCAAAAUUUAUAUAAACUGUGUAAUUUGAUUUCUGAAAACUGCUUUUGUCCCUAAUGAUAUUUAUAUGGAUAAAAUUAAAGUUUGUGAAGAAUGUCAUCUCUCAUUUAUAGCAGUUGCUUUAUCCAGGAAUGUCAUAUAUGUAACUUUAAAGUUGUUGGCUUUGAAUAAACCAAACACUUGAAGGGCUAAUCUGUUUUAGUAGUUGAAGGGCGUGGUGAAGCUGAUAAUAACACACCCAUAAUGACACGCUGCAAUAGACUUAUUCCGAAACAUAAGUCUAUUGUUUUGAUGGAUUGUUUUAGUAUUCUUAUAUCUUGCUUCAUAUUAAGGUUUUUUUUUUUUUUUUUGGUUUUAAAAAUAAU
Molecule: long non-coding RNA, 1222 nt
Organism: Prunus dulcis (almond)
Lineage: Eukaryota; Viridiplantae; Streptophyta; Magnoliopsida; Rosales; Rosaceae
Exons: 8
Source: RefSeq, a predicted model, not a curated record